This 229-nucleotide unclassified non-coding RNA is filed under the name Hevea brasiliensis (rubber tree). Lineage: Eukaryota; Viridiplantae; Streptophyta; Magnoliopsida; Malpighiales; Euphorbiaceae. The record is from RNAcentral.
CUUCCCUUCCAGGAUCCUGUUGUUGAUUCAUUGAAAGCAGCCGUAGACAGGGUCACUCACUCAACAAACUUCCUUAACUUUUUGGCACAACAUGCUCUCAUCAUGCAAGAAGAGCUACCUACUACUACUGAGGAACGUGCUGAUGAUCAAAGAUACCAUUUUAUGUCACUUGUCUUGAACUUAUUGAACACAUUUCUUUAUAUGGUCAACACAUAUAUAAUUGUCCCCG